CUGGCUUGCACCUUGUUGGGUUUUUUCAAAGGCAGAGGGGAGAUUCCUGGCGUGCAUCUGCUUAAUUUGAAGAAGAACAUCACCUGAUCACCUAUCUGUAAUCCACCUGCUUAAGUUCUGGUCAAGGGGCUCAUCGGCUAUCAAGUUAUAGAUUUCAGUGGCUAAUAGAAGACACUGCUGAGGUCAGAUGAGAGUGCAUCCUCAAAGGUCUGUGUGUACCUAAAUGAAGAUCCAGAGAAGCUGGUGAGGGAGUACAUGGACGUUGAUGAAUGUGCAGAAAUGGCCAAAGCCGAGGCUGUCCUCGGAAUCGUCAUUUGAGCAGAGG
Molecule: long non-coding RNA, 325 nt
Organism: Poeciliopsis prolifica (blackstripe livebearer)
Lineage: Eukaryota; Metazoa; Chordata; Actinopteri; Cyprinodontiformes; Poeciliidae
Exons: 4
Source: RefSeq, a predicted model, not a curated record